This 478-nucleotide ribosomal RNA is filed under the name uncultured bacterium. RNAcentral describes it as "partial 16S ribosomal RNA". It matches the Rfam family "Bacterial small subunit ribosomal RNA", at positions 28 to 523 of the family's 1533-position model. The record is from RNAcentral.
GACGAACGCUGGCGGCGUGCUUAACACAUGCAAGUCGAACGGUAAGGCCCUUCGGGGUACACGAGUGGCGAACGGGUGAGUAACACGUGGGUGAUCUGCCCUGCACUUCGGGAUAAGCCUGGGAAACUGGGUCUAAUACCGGAUAGGACUCCUGGCUUCAUGGUGGGGGGUGGAAAGCUUUUGCGGUGUGGGAUGGGCCCGCGGCCUAACAGCUUGUUGGUGGGGUAAUGGCCUACCAAGGAGAAGACGGGUAGCUGGCCUGAGAGGGUGACCGGCCACACUGGGACUGAGAUACGGCCCAGACUCCUACGGGAGGCAGCAGUGGGGAAUAUUGCACAAUGGGCGCAAGCCUGAUGCAGCGACGCCGCGUGAGGGAUGACGGCCUUCGGGUUGUAAACCUCUUUCAGUAGGGACGAAGCGCAAGUGACGGUACCUACAGAAGAAGGACCGGCCAACUACGUGCCAGCAGCCGCGGUAA